CACCUGAGAGCUCCUCUGGGCCCGCCCUGCUUCAGCCGCCAGCACUGCACCUGCGCUCUGCAGUCCCUCCCAUCACAGCGGAGGUCUGGCAGCACAUCCCUGCCUGCAGCUGCAGACCGAGGCGGUGCUCCCAGCUCUCGAAGCUUCUCAAGGAAUCCGGCAAUAGCCGGUGACGCCUGGACCCCCGAGCCCUGACUGAGUCUUUGCAGGCUGGGCUGGGUGGGGUGGGGGGAGGCAGGCCCCUGCAGGCCCCCCUCCCUCUGCAACAGAGCUGGCUGCCCCAGCCUGUGAUUUGUGUUUACACAGGCUCCACAAUGAGGUGUGGCACUUAAUGAAAGGGCUCUGUCACUUACCCAGUGAAACAGGGAGUCUGAAGGCCAAAGAACUGGUUACUUCUUGUACGUGAGGCAGGACGAUCUGAGCUCCGGCCCGGACGGAGGGCGAGCACUCGGCUCCCUUCAGUUCAGCACAGAGGAGCAGACCUGCUGCUGAGCUGCCGUGCAGCACGAGCUGGGGGAGCGGGAAAUCAUGACCCACAGGCUUGUCUUCAGAGAGCCUGUUGAGGGUGGCAUGUGAUGGGCACCUGAGCACCCAGGACUUUAAGGAAACUACAUCAUCAUUACGAAGACUGGGGAGCAACAGCGUCAUGGGCACCGCUCUGCUCUGCAUGAAGGAGUCCGACAGCUGCCAGCGGGGAGCUUUGGUGGUGCCAAAUCCCCUGGAGAGAGGAGGCUGCAGCCCCAGGCAGCAGGGAGCCCUGGAGGAAGCUGCCUCUGCAGACUCGCGGGAAUGCCAGCUCCGGGUUUCAUUCCUUUGUUCACUGCUGCUUCCCAAGUGCCAGACGGAGCCUGGAACUCAGUGGCUGCUCUAAAGAUACUGUUGAAUGAGUAAAUGAACGGAAUUGCACAGGAGCGAGGCCACAGUUCUACAGCUGAGCUGCCUGUCACGGCCCUCACCCAACCACCACUGCUGGAAAUGUGCAGACAGGGUGUGCCUCUCCCGUUUAAGGGAAAUGUAUUGAGAUAUCAUUCACAUACAUGGCACGUGCUCAGGGAGCCCCCCAGGAUGACAGAGCUCACCCAUCACCCCACAGAACGUCUCUGCCCCAUCCAGGCAGGCCCCAGAGUACACUGGGUCUGGCUUCUUUAGUCAGAGGUGGUUUGAGUGAGUCUAGAGACUUCAUAGAAUCUGGGUCACAGAGCAGGCACCCUUUUCCAUCUGGUGUCUUCCACUCAGCGUAGCGGUCCCGAGAUCCAGCGUGUCUCUGCUAGGAUCAGCGGUUUGCUCCUUGGUGUUGCUGAGGAAAAUUCUACUGCAUGGAACACCACCAUCUAUCCACACUGGAUAGACACCAGAUGAGUGCUUCCGCCUGCUGUGAAUGAAGCUCCUAUGAACAGUCUCAUAUUAGGUAUGAAAGGAAAAUAAAUCAAUCACUAAACAAAGGGGAAAGUCAAGCUGGGAGCUGCCUCCCAUCCUAUUCCUAAAUAAGAUAGCUACAAAGAUAAAAACGCUGUUCCUCCCUCACAAUUUGCUCACAAGGAACUUCCUUGUGGAACAAGGACAGACAGAACUCAAUCAUCCCUCCGCUCACAUGAGACAAACACAGAUCGGAAUGCUUCCUCCGCCCUGUUGUUUCACCCAGCCAGACUAAGGCAUACGUAACUAUUCCAGUAAAUUGUGCAUUCGGUGAAAGGCUAAUCAGAAACUUAAAAGAAUGCAGCCAUUUGUCUCUUAUCUACCUACAACCUGGAAGCCCCCUGCGCGCUUUGACUUGUCCUGUCUUUCCAGAUAGAACCAAUGUACAUCAUACAUAUAAUGAUUGAUGUCUCAUGUCUCCCUAAAAUGUAUAAAACCAAGCUGUUCCCCGACCACCAUCACCAGGACCUCCUGAGGCUGUGUCACGGCACGUCCUCAACCUUGGCAAAAUAACUUUCUAAAUUUAUUGAGACUUGUCUCAGAUACUUUUUGGUUUACAAAGGUGUUUGUGGACAUGUAUAUUCAUUUCUCAUAGAUAAGUACCUAGAAGUUGAAUUGCUUAGACAUGAGUAAAUGUAUGUUUAACUUUUUCAGAAACUCCCGAACAUAUUUCCAAACUAUACCGUUUUACACUCUGUCAGCAGAAUUUAAAAGUUUCCACUGAACCACAUCCUUGUCAACGUUUGGUAUUGUCAAUAUGUUUAAGUUAUUGAUAUUGUUCUAGUGAAUGUGUAGAGACAUCUCGUUUUGGUUUUAAUUUGCAUUUUCCUAAUGAGGAAUAAUACUGAGAAAUUUUUUCUUUCAUAUUGUCAUAUAUGUGUCUUCUUUCUUAAAGUGCCUAGUCAAAUAUUUUGCUCAUUUUUUAUUGCUUUUUAUUAUAAACUGUGUUUUUUUAAAUAUUAUCUUAACACACGUCUUUUGGCUGAUAUAAUAUUGUAAAUAUUUUCUCCCAUUCUGUGGUCUACUUAUUGUUUCCUAAUGCUGUCUUUUGAAGAGCAAAAUAUUUUUCUCCAUUUAUGGAGACAAGAUGGUCAACUUAGCUAUUCCAAAAUGUUUUUAAAAUUCUAGUUUGUUUUAAAACAACCACAGCAAACUGCAUGGAUUUGUUCCACAUCUUUGAAAGAAAAACAUUAUUUUAUUUAUUUCACAGUGGAAGAUAAGUCAGUAAGGCCCCACUUCGGCAGGUUUUGUUUUCGUUUCCUCAUGCCUCUGCAAUGCUCGGAGUCACCCACGCCUUACUCACUGCGGCUGGAACGAACCCAGACUCCUCACUCCUCCCACAGCCUCUGGCGCAGGGCGCUCCUUGCUUGAAAGAAACGUUUGCGAUUUUUAGUGGAAACGUCCGUGUUUUCUUGGUAACUGGUAAAUGGCUGUAGAUUACUGACACGCGGUCCUUUGUACGUAACAGAAGGCUUUGAGUGUUUCUGUGAGGAUCACCCUGUGAAGAAACGGCUGCAGUGAGAGCAGCCGAGGCGGGACGCAGCCCCGGACGUGGGGUCAGAGAGGAGCCGUGCGUGGGGUCAGAGAGGAGCCGUGCGUGGGGUCAGAGAGGAGCCGUGCGUGGGGUCAGAGAGGAGCCGUGCGUGGGGUCAGAGAGGAGCUGAGUUCAGGACGGGCAUGGCAGCCGCAGGAGGAGGGCAAGGCGGAGCCCAGGAGGGGCAAAGUGGACAAAGCCAGGGCUGGAGAGGGGAGACCCAGGAUCAGCACCACGUUCCACGGGGAUGGCACAGAAGCCUGAGAGGCCACGGCCAAAUGUGGAAAUUGGCUUUGCCAAAUCUUGCAUUUCAGAGAGAAAAGGCAAUAUGGCAUUAAUGCUUGCCUUGUUUAAUUUUCGUAAUUUUCCCUUUCUUCCUGCCAAUAGCUUGCUUUGUUAUCCGGAGGGUAGCCACGGUUUUAGCUCACAGUGAUGUCAACUUGAAGCUUCUCUCCACAAGCAGCUGUGACCUCAGCUGCCGUGCAGUCAGCUUCCCCGGCCUCCCUCCCCAGCCUCCCUGGUCUCCCAGGCACAAGGCUGGGCACUGGCUUCAGAGUGGCUGCAAGGGCACGGCCCCCAGGCCUAGGGCUGAUCAGCGUGAACAGUACCCAGCACACUUGCUUCAAAAAGUAAGAAGAUAUAGAACACAAGCUGCUUGUUCUCAUGACUAUAGCACAAACUAUAAAACAAAACAUCUUCCUCCAGAACACGGCAAGCUGGAUGGACAGUGAUCUGGACAAAAAUUUGCUGUAGGUUUUGUAACUGGGGUUCAGUGAGGACCAGGCUCCCCAGAGCAUACAUGUGGAGACAAUUAAGUUGAUCCCAUUUUCCAAGACUCAGAGGAGAUGUAUUUAUAUUAGGAAUAUAAACUUGCUAUUAAUGCAACUUCAGAAUGUCCAGGUCAUCCGUUGGGAAAAAAAAAAGAGUAAGUCUAGGGCUGGUUCGUGCUGUUGCUACAUGGAGGGAAUCCACAUCCAAGCCUGCCGCUCACAUGCUGGGACACAUUGCCUCAGCCUCCAUCUCUGGGAGUCCCACGCUUUCUCUCCUGGGUUGUCCCACUAUUCCUUUUGAAGUCCUCAUGUUAGUGACAGUUCAAUUUUCUCUUCACCUUCAAAAUUGCAGAGAACCUAAUUUCUACUGACCAGUCAAGCUUGUUUCAUUUAUCUUCCAUGUUAACUUCAAUUAAAAUGUUAACCAUCUGGAAUCUUUGGCCUCUUAUGUGACAAAAAUAGGCAUUAAAUUGUAUCAUUUCUUAAAUUCUCUGUUGAAAAGUCCAAAUACGUUACUGAAUAUGAUACAGAUUAGUAAGAAUUUGGGCUCAUUAAAUGUAAGAUAAUUUCAUAGCUUAAGGUAAUUUCACACCCCAAGGGACUUAUAACCUAAACACAAAGCAGAUCACCAACAUUAACUGUCAGCUGUCCACUGGAGAACUAUCUCAGACAAAAAAAUAAAAUUUGGAUUAGCUCUCCAUGGUGCACAAUACUUUCAUGAACCAUCUCUUUUGGGUUGGCAGCUGCAGUGUGUUCUGAGAGUAUGUUAAUGCUACAAUAACAGUAAAAAUAAAAUUAAGUUGGGAACAUACAGAAAAAAAGAAAUUGAUUACAUUAUUCCUAAUGACGACCUGAAUCAAAGUUGGCACUAAAUAAAUUUUUGUCAGAAAGGAGAAAAGAAAUGAGAGAAAUAAAAGAGAGGAGGCAGGAUUUUAUAUUCUGCUCCCUUUUUGGAAAA
RNAcentral lists this long non-coding RNA (4678 nucleotides) under Homo sapiens (human). RNAcentral's name for it is "HSALNT0117165". The record is from RNAcentral. Lineage: Eukaryota; Metazoa; Chordata; Mammalia; Primates; Hominidae.